This 397-nucleotide ribosomal RNA is filed under the name uncultured bacterium. RNAcentral's name for it is "bacterial SSU rRNA". It matches the Rfam family "Bacterial small subunit ribosomal RNA", at positions 29 to 429 of the family's 1533-position model. The record is from RNAcentral.
AUUGAACGCUGGCGGCAUGCCUUACACAUGCAAGUCGAACGGCAGCACGGGAGCAAUCCUGGUGGCGAGUGGCGAACGGGUGAGUAAUGUAUCGGAACGUGCCCAGUCGUGGGGGAUAACGCAGCGAAAGCUGUGCUAAUACCGCAUACGAUCUAUGGAUGAAAGCGGGGGGAUCGCAAGACCUCGCGCGAUUGGAGCGGCCGAUAUCAGAUUAGGUAGUUGGUGAGGUAAAGGCUCACCAAGCCGACGAUCUGUAGCUGGUCUGAGAGGACGACCAGCCACACUGGGACUGAGACACGGCCCAGACUCCUACGGGAGGCAGCAGUGGGGAAUUUUGGACAAUGGGCGCAAGCCUGAUCCAGCAAUGCCGCGUGCAGGACGAAGGCCUCGGUGUAAC